AUCAUGAAUUUGUUGUUGCUCUCUAAUUGUUCCUAGCAAAAAGCAUGAAUGGUGUUUCAUAAAUAAAUUAUGAUGUAUCUAGACAAGAGAACACAAAUAAGCUUUAAAAGAUGAUGUAUUCAAGUAUAUAUACUGACAUAAGCUAUGUCUAUGAAAUAAUAUUGAAGAAAAGGAAGCUCCUGGUUCCAGUUACAUCGGAAGUUCCACCUCUACAGAGACCAAAGAAGCCGCUGAUUGGCCGGCAUGCUGACGAACUUGGGGGAGGGGUUUUACCUUACCUUUUCUACCUGUUGGUUUCAACAAAGCAUGGCAUUAAAGGUCAAGAUGGCUGAGCGA
Mastomys coucha (southern multimammate mouse) is the source of this 336-nucleotide long non-coding RNA. RefSeq lists it as uncharacterized. The transcript is spliced from 2 exons. The record is from RefSeq and is a predicted model, not a curated record. NCBI's taxonomy places the organism in Eukaryota, Metazoa, Chordata, Mammalia, Rodentia, Muridae.